Molecule: ribosomal RNA, 253 nt
Filed under: uncultured bacterium
Lineage: Bacteria
Description: partial 16S ribosomal RNA
Rfam family: Bacterial small subunit ribosomal RNA
Source: RNAcentral
UACAUGGGGUGCAAACGUUGCUCGGAAUUAUUGGGCGUAAAGCGCGCGUAGGCGGCUACUUAAGUCGGAUGUGAAAGCCCCUGGCUCAACUGGGGAAGUGCACCCGAAACUGAGUAGCUAGAGUACGAAAGAGGGUCGCGGAAUUCCCGGUGUAGAGGUGAAAUUCGUAGAUAUCGGGAGGAACACCGGUGGCGAAGGCGGCGACCUGGGUCGAUACUGACGCUGAUGCGCGAAAGCGUGGGGAGCGAUCCGG